CAAUUCCUGCUGCCGCCAAGGAGUCAGGCCUGCUGGCCCUCUCCCCUUUGCCUCUCCUCUUUUACUAUUACAAAGCUGGCCCUUCAAAGCACAGUGCUCUCUGCAAUACAGAAGCCCUCGCUAUCUCUACAGUGGAGAAAAUGUGCGCCACGGGAAAAGGUCAUAGCAUAGAACAAUCUGAAGAGCACUGGUCUGCAUCCCACUUAGAAACCUCCAACUCCAAAUGUCAAUUUUCCUCCUGAGACAGCAUUUCUGGGCUGCUGCCUCCCGCUCCAGAGAGAUGUGCUUCUGGGAAAGUCAACUACACUGUGCAAGAGGUCUGUGAAAUGUGUCGGCACUUCCAUAAAAGUGUAACUGAGGAUCUUCAGUCGGGCCCUCUUC
Molecule: long non-coding RNA, 381 nt
Filed under: Homo sapiens (human)
Lineage: Eukaryota; Metazoa; Chordata; Mammalia; Primates; Hominidae
Description: HSALNT0267906
Source: RNAcentral